Molecule: long non-coding RNA, 2089 nt
Organism: Leopardus geoffroyi (Geoffroy's cat)
Lineage: Eukaryota; Metazoa; Chordata; Mammalia; Carnivora; Felidae
Exons: 2
Source: RefSeq, a predicted model, not a curated record
GUCGGACACUUAACCGACUGCGCCACCCAGGCGCCCCUUAAAUGCUCUUUUAAAGGCCCUAUAUCCAAACCACGUCUUAAAAGACCAAAUAUAGUCACAUUCUGAGAUACUGUGGGCUAGAACUUGAACGUAUAAAUUUGGAGGGGGACACAAUUAAGCCCAUUACACUGCCUGAACAUAACCAUAAUUUAUCCACAAGGAAAAUUAGAUCUAACAACAUCACAGGUCACGUUCCUAAGGGAAGCAGACUCUGAAGAGAUGGAGAUUGGCCUGCAGGGGUUUAUGGUAGAUGCUCUCAGGAAAACCUACAAGCAAUGAAGGCAGCAGAAUUAGGCAUAAGGGGACUGCAGUGAAGUCAUGGUCAAGGCCCAGGAUGACCACAGAACUCUCCAGGCACGUGGAGAGUUGUUUGGAAUUGAAGCAAGGGCACUAGGCCAUUUUACUCCUGCAAAGACUAGUCAUGGGGUGUGGGCUGCCCCCAGGAAAGAGGCAUGAUAUUCAUGAACAGGCUCUCUUCAGCUGAGGACAGUCUCAGGCAGACUCAGUUGGGAGUUGCCAAUCACCCAGUCUUUGGGAGCUGAGAGAGGAUUGCUCAGUCAAGUGGAGUCUCUGGUCAGUGCACUGGGUGUCUACAGUAUAAGGAAGCAGAGGUUCCCCACGUGAAUGAAAAGAUUUACCAUCAUCUUCUUAAGAAAUUUCUCAAAUUUCUCGUAAUACCUCUCAGUAGUUUAAAUGGUGACCUAUUAUGAACCCUAAAACACUUGGCCCAAUUCCGGGUGCAUCAAAAAUGCCCAGCAGAAUAGUCAGGGUGUAUGGCCUCAUGAGAAGAGUAUGCUAUUUGGAGACAAAGAGAUCUGGGUUCAACUCUCUUCCCCACUAAUACUCUUUACCCUCUCCAAAUCUCCAAUGUCUCUUCUGCAAAAUGAGGAUAAGUAAGCCAACUUUGUUAGACUGUUGGAAAGAUUCAAAGAAAAAAAUACACUUCAGGGUGUCGGGCACAUGCUUGACAAAGAAGGCAUUCCGAAAGCAUACGUUUCCUUCCCUUUCUUUAAGCAAAUAAUUAAUCGGUGGUAACCAAUUUCAAACCAGAAAUAGACAUUUGAUCUCCUAACAUGAGGGAAAAUGUUUCUCAAAUGCUGCACUUGAUCUUAGCCAAAAGGCUGAGAAAUGAUGUUUCUCAAAUUCUGGUGUGAUCAGAAUCACCGGUGAAGAUUGUCAAAACAGAUUCCUGGAUCCCAUUCACAGUGAAUCUAAAUCAGGAGGUCUAAGGUGAAGACCAGGCAUGUGUAAUUUUAGCAAGUCCCAUGGGGGUUUCUGAUACCUGGAAAAUCUUGAGGCCCCCUGCUUGAGGCUGUGGGUGUUGUGUCAGUAAGAAUGGGAGUUCAGUGCUUAGAUGCCUGGGGACAUUUCCGCUGUCUUCAUUGUCAUUUAGUUCUGUGGAUGUAGAUGUACACAUCUCAUCACAAAGACUUCUCCCCUUGUAUAAAUACUGUGCAUUCCAAAGCUAAAACAUGCAUAAAUUAUGUCAGCUAUAGAAUCAAACCAAUUCUCCUUUUCAAGAUGUAGUUUUAUUGAGGUAUAAAUCACUACUACAAGGCAAUUUAGUGCAGACAGGAAUUUUACUGGGGGAUGCAGAUCCCCUGAGCUUGUCUGGAAAAUGGGAAGCAUAUUCAGAGUUGCAGGUGUAAGAGCUGCGUGUCCUGCAAAGAAGCUCCGUCUGGACAGAGAUUUAACUUUCUCAUCUAAAUCAAGGUAAAUGGAGUUCCUCUGGAUGGGAUUGUUAAAGGCUUUCUGUGUUUGAUUAGGGAUCACAAAGCCCAUCUGUGCUGCAGAAAUUAUACUGUCAAAAAGACACCUGACCGGGGUCCAGAAAGUAAACAGGAGCUGGAACACAGAAAGUGACCCCUGAGCACAGACGGGCUUUCACAUCCCUACCAGACUUCCCCUGAUUUAACAUGGGGCCAUGUGGUUUCCCAGUGUCUUCUGUGGCUUUCUUUUCCCACAGAAUGAGGCCUCAUUUGUUCUAAAAUAUGAAGCUUUGGGGGUUUCUCGAAAAUGGUACUUUCACUCAGUAAAAAUAAGUCAAGAC